This 460-nucleotide ribosomal RNA is filed under the name uncultured bacterium. RNAcentral describes it as "partial 16S ribosomal RNA". It matches the Rfam family "Bacterial small subunit ribosomal RNA", at positions 338 to 795 of the family's 1533-position model. The record is from RNAcentral.
CCUACGGGAGGCAGCAGUGAGGAAUAUUGGUCAAUGGGCGGAAGCCUGAACCAGCCAAGUCGCGUGCAGGAUGACGGCCCUACGGGUUGUAAACUGCUUUUAUACGGGAAUAACGCGCCUUACGUGUAGGGCUUUGCAUGUACCGUAUGAAUAAGGACCGGCUCAUUCCGGGCCAGCAGCCGCGGUAAUACGGAAGGUCCGGGCGUUAUCCGGAUUUGUUGGGUUUAAAGGGAGCGUAGGCCGCCUGGCAAGGGUGCUGUGAAAUGUCCGGGCUCAACCCGGGCCUUGCAGCGCGAACUGGCGGGCUUGAGUCAGCGGAAAGCAGGCGGAAUGCGUCGUGUAGCGGUGAAAUGCUUAGAUAUGACGAAGAACUCCGAUUGCGAAGGCAGCUUGCUGCAGCGGAACUGACGCUGAUGCUCGAAAGCGCGGGUAUCGAACAGGAUUAGAUACCCGUGUAGUC